RNAcentral lists this ribosomal RNA (490 nucleotides) under Salmonella enterica subsp. enterica serovar Heidelberg. Its description in RNAcentral is "partial 16S ribosomal RNA". It matches the Rfam family "Bacterial small subunit ribosomal RNA", at positions 1 to 480 of the family's 1533-position model. Lineage: Bacteria; Pseudomonadati; Pseudomonadota; Gammaproteobacteria; Enterobacterales; Enterobacteriaceae. The record is from RNAcentral. RNAcentral also lists the same sequence under 5 other names.
AAAUUGAAGAGUUUGAUCAUGGCUCAGAUUGAACGCUGGCGGCAGGCCUAACACAUGCAAGUCGAACGGUAACAGGAAGCAGCUUGCUGCUUUGCUGACGAGUGGCGGACGGGUGAGUAAUGUCUGGGAAACUGCCUGAUGGAGGGGGAUAACUACUGGAAACGGUGGCUAAUACCGCAUAACGUCGCAAGACCAAAGAGGGGGACCUUCGGGCCUCUUGCCAUCAGAUGUGCCCAGAUGGGAUUAGCUUGUUGGUGAGGUAACGGCUCACCAAGGCGACGAUCCCUAGCUGGUCUGAGAGGAUGACCAGCCACACUGGAACUGAGACACGGUCCAGACUCCUACGGGAGGCAGCAGUGGGGAAUAUUGCACAAUGGGCGCAAGCCUGAUGCAGCCAUGCCGCGUGUAUGAAGAAGGCCUUCGGGUUGUAAAGUACUUUCAGCGGGGAGGAAGGUGUUGCGGUUAAUAACCGCAGCAAUUGACGUUACCC